ACGGAGGGGGCAAGCGUUGUUCGGAAUUACUGGGCGUAAAGGGCGUGUAGGCGGCGGUUUUAGUCAGGCGUGAAAGCCCGGGGCUCAACCUCGGAAUAGCGCUUGAUACUGAACUGCUUGAGACCGGAAGAGGGUAGUGGAAUUCCCAGUGUAGAGGUGAAAUUCGUAGAUAUUGGGAAGAACACCAGUGGCGAAGGCGGCUACCUGGUCCGGAUCUGACGCUGAGGCGUGAAAGCGUGGGGAGCAAACAGG
This 252-nucleotide ribosomal RNA is filed under the name uncultured bacterium. RNAcentral's name for it is "partial 16S ribosomal RNA". It matches the Rfam family "Bacterial small subunit ribosomal RNA", at positions 525 to 776 of the family's 1533-position model. The record is from RNAcentral.